UGAGGAAUAUUGCGCAAUGGGGGCAACCCUGACGCAGCAACGCCGCGUGAGUGAGGAAGGUUUUCGGACCGUAAAGCUCUGUCGAGCGGGAAGAAAUGUAUCGUGGCUAAUAUCCAUGAUAUUUGACGGUACCGCUAAAGGAAGCACCGGCUAACUCCGUGCCAGCAGCCGCGGUAAUACGGGGGGUGCAAGCGUUGUUCGGAAUCAUUGGGCGUAAAGCGCGUGUAGGCGGCUUGACAAGUCAGAUGUGAAAUCCCUGGGCUUAACUCAGGAAGUGCAUUUGAAACUGUCAGGCUAGAGUAAGGGAGAGGAAAGUGGAAUUCCUGGUGUAGAGGUGAAAUUCGUAGAUAUCAGGAGGAACACCGGUGGCGAAGGCGACUUUCUGGCCCUAUACUGACGCUGAGACGCGAAAGCGUGGGUAGCAAACA
This 428-nucleotide ribosomal RNA is filed under the name uncultured prokaryote. Its description in RNAcentral is "bacterial SSU rRNA". It matches the Rfam family "Bacterial small subunit ribosomal RNA", at positions 355 to 774 of the family's 1533-position model. The record is from RNAcentral.